Molecule: ribosomal RNA, 564 nt
Filed under: Triticum aestivum (bread wheat)
Lineage: Eukaryota; Viridiplantae; Streptophyta; Magnoliopsida; Poales; Poaceae
Description: partial small subunit ribosomal RNA
Source: RNAcentral
AUGGUGGUGGACGCGCUUGCCGCUAUCCUGGACAAGGCGAAGGCGGCGGGCCAUAUUCAUGGGAUCACUCCCCACUUGGCCGGCGGCUCUGGGAUCUCCCUUCUCCAGUACGCCGACGACACCAUCAUUAUGCUGGAAGGCUCGAAGGCGGACAUCUCUAAUCUGAAGUUCCUCCUCCUCUGCUUCCAACAAAUGUCUGGCCUCAAGAUCAACUUCGAUAAGAGUGAUGUGAUGGUGAUGGGCUACUCUCCGGAUGAAUGCCUGGGCAUUGCCAACCGGCUUAACUGCCGCUUGGGCUCCUUCCCCACGACCUACUUGGGGACGCUGAUUAGUGACUCUCGGCUCACCGUCGCUGACUUGCGUCCAACCGUGGCCAAGCUGCAGACGUGCAUUGAGCCUUGGCAGGACAGGUGGUUGUCGAAGGCGGCCCGGACGAUUCUCAUCAACUCCUCCCUAUCCAGCCUCCUCUUGUUCCUCAUGAGUUUCUAUAGCCUGCACGAGAUUCUGCAUCAUGAGAUCGCCAGAGUCCAGUCUCGUUUCUACUGGGCAGGCAACAACAAUAAA